Molecule: non-coding RNA, 2206 nt
Organism: Lolium perenne
Lineage: Eukaryota; Viridiplantae; Streptophyta; Magnoliopsida; Poales; Poaceae
Source: RefSeq, a predicted model, not a curated record
AGGCUGCAAAAAUAUUGGAAAUAUUACUAAUACAAUAUUGUGGGGUUUUAGCUUCUUUUUGUAUAUAAAUGGGAUUUUUAGAUUCUUUUUUGUACAUAUAUUUCUAGCUUAUGCCUUUUCCUCCUAAAACAGUACCAGGCAAGCUGACAUGUGGCAUUAUUGAUACUUUUAGGUAUUUUCAGAGAGCUGCUCCUAUAGUAACCGUGCAGCAUAUUUCAGUACUGUAGGCGAGUGAUCCAAGCUAUUGUUCAGAUAUCAAAACAGCUUACUGCUCAUAUUGCCUAUGAAGUGGUGCACAUGUUCCGGUGGUGUGAGAAUUUCUCCCCUAGCCUCAUAGUAGUUUAUUACUCUAUUUGUUACCCAUCAGCCAACAGAGUAAGUGAAGUUGAUACACAUGGAGGUACCAGGAAAAGCUUUUGAUAUGCGCAUGAACCUCAUUUUUAUCCGCGCUCCCUUCUAAGGAGUCCCCAGUUCAGAACAAAAUGAAGGAAUGAAAAAGCGUGGCCGCUGACUUUCGUAACGCUCAAAGAGUUGUGGUUGGUAACAUCGCAGGAAAGGUUCCAUCGGGAAAUUUAGUUCAUAGUGAAUGUGAUGUUUCACUAUUCUGCUGCUCCCAAGCAUCAGGUGUUCUGCUUAUUCUGUACUCUUUGCCUUUAGAGAUAAGGAGAUUGCGGUAGCUGCAGCUGAAGAGGAGUAAAGGGAUAUUCAAAAACUUGAGUAAGCCAUAUAUUUGAAGGUCUCCACGAAUGAUGAGUCCGCCAUGAGAGAGAGAGGUUUCAUGUUUUGGUCGAACAUGUUGUUUGGGUGUGAGCGCUUCAGGUUUUAUGCAGUGAGGAGUUGGACACUGGAAUUUCAAUUUUGAUUAUGUGAUGACCUGAUGACCUGGUUGGACCCUAGAGACUCAAGUUUACUCUGAUGACAAAUACAAGGGCUAAGGUAGCUUGAGAUUCAGUAUAAGUUUGUACUAAAUUCGAGUCAAUUAAAAAGGAACGGAUGGAGUACAUGACAUUUAAGAUCUUCCAUUGCUAAAGCCUAUUCGAGCCACUUGGUGAGCUCAUUGUUGACAACAAGGCUAUGUAGUAAUUUGAAAACGGAGCCACAUUUUGCAAGUUUUGGUGACUCUUCAGAGUUCUUCAUUGAUCCUGGUGGCACACUGAUAGCCUGAAAUUUAUCCUCUUGGCAAGAACAUGAGCAACCAUCCUUACCUGUCGAAUUCUUGCGGAGCAAUGCUGCCAAGGAGCAUGGAGGAUUACUGGUCAGUGUAAUUGGACUACCUGGGCAUCAAGGCGUCAAGUAUAGAUGUGCAGAGAAAGAGGAAGAGCACAUCCUUGAGCAGUAGUUCAGUGAUGCCUGGUAUGUCUAUUUAUGCUGGGAUAAUAAAGCUUUGUUGUAAGGAAUUUGGACGGUGCUGGUGGAUUUGAAAUGGUGGAAGGAGAAACGAAGCUGAGGCCGUGUGCCCAUGUCAAAAUGUACAACCGAAUAUCGAGGUUUAUUUUCUUUCGUUCUUGGAGGUGCUUUUGCUUUUUCUGUGAAAUACUACUGAACCUGUGUUUCCCCUUUACAACCAAUUCUUAGUAUUGAACUACUUAUUUUGCUAUCUGGUCCAAUGACAUUUUUUUCACUAUUCAUUCGGAGAAGAUAUGCCGUUGGUUGGGGUGACACAACGGCAUGUGUUGCAGCUCGAUAAGUCGGCCCAGCCAGGCCUUCAACUUACCCAUAUGUAGCUUUAGGUUCAAGUUGGGAAUGGACCAAUACUCGUUUCAAUACCAUGAUUACUUUAGUGGCCUUGUUCAAAAAAGAUAGUAGAAAGAUAGUAUCAAGCACCAAGAUACUGCAUCCUGCCACUGUUCGCCGUCUCGCCGCUCCAUGAUUAUUUGACUCAGUUGUGGCAAAUGAAGCAAAUGAGUUUUCCAUGUAUUCUUAUUUGUAGCAAAGUAUAAGGGCAAUAAUUUUUUCAGAUGGCUUAUUAACAUUUGUGAAAUAGUGGAGAUGUUGCUUGUUCCUUCACCAUACCACAUGCUUCAAAGGGUGGAGCAUGUUACCAUCCUCAAUCCAUGAGUGUGCUAAGCAUUCGGUGCGUCAUGCUGAUUCCCUAUGUGUAUGUGACAAGCCGAAAAAUAUGCUAGAAAUGUUGAACCAUUUAAACUUGUCGGAAGCAUGCGCUCCAAGAGCUAUGGAGUUAUGAAGUUUCUCCUUCCCAUGAGUA